Molecule: ribosomal RNA, 169 nt
Filed under: Haloferax gibbonsii ATCC 33959
Lineage: Archaea; Methanobacteriati; Methanobacteriota; Halobacteria; Halobacteriales; Haloferacaceae
Description: partial 23S ribosomal RNA
Rfam family: Archaeal large subunit ribosomal RNA
Source: RNAcentral
AGGGCAGAUGCCGGGCAGCUACGCACCACGGGGUAAGAGCUGAACGCAUCUAAGCUCGAAACCCACACGGAAAAGAAGUUCCACUGAGGACACUCGUAGAAGACGAGUUCGAUAGACUCGGGGGGUACGCAACGAGGCAACGAGUUGUUAAGCCCGCGAGCACUAACAG